This is a long non-coding RNA of Lagopus muta (rock ptarmigan), 2187 nucleotides long. RefSeq lists it as uncharacterized. NCBI's taxonomy places the organism in Eukaryota, Metazoa, Chordata, Aves, Galliformes, Phasianidae. The transcript is spliced from 4 exons. The record is from RefSeq and is a predicted model, not a curated record.
GUGUGGGGUUGUUUUCUUUGGAUGGAUAUGUGGCAUUGCUGUUCCUGCUCACAGGCAAGCAGAUUUGUAACCAGUGUCUCUUCAUACCAAGUGCUCGAGCAAGAACAGAAAAUGCCUCAAGCCUGGCAGUAAAUUCCACAAGCAGAUUCAGAGCGUGCUGACCCAAAGAGUGAAAUGAAACACGAGAGAAGGCAUUUCCAUUGAUGAAUAAGAAAUCUCUGUCCUCUUUCUGGGAACCGUAGACAUCAGCUGGGUUGGACCUGGAGCGAGUAUUGCUGCUGGAGGUCAGGAAGUAAAAAAGUGAAACUCUGUCUUGUAAACCUGGAAGUGAAUGCAGAGUACAGCUUAGUAGAAAUUACUGACUUUCCCAGACAACCUGAAUGUAAGUAGAUGUAGCAGAAACACUAAGUCAUGGCCUGAAGCAGUGAUUGAGCACCUGGUGGGAAGGCAGGGCCAACGUGGGGAGCUCACGUGUGUGCAAUGCAUCUGAGUGACCAGAAGGUAUGGAGCCAAGAUUCACCCUCCCAGACCUCAUUUAAGGGUUGGCAAAGCAGAAUUCCAGGGCUCAUCAACUCCAGAACAGCAAUGGGAAGGGAUGAAGGAAUGGCUUUAAUGGUUCUUUGACAAGUUAGUUGAGAAAUUCCCUGUUUUUAAGGACCUUACUCAAAGGCUUAGUACGUUCUGUGAAGUUGUAGGGAAAAAAAAAGAUGUCAUUUAAGAAGAUAAUUGAAAGCACAACAAAUCCAUUGAGCUGAGUGGCUGAGGUGUUUCGUGCUUGAGUCCCGCUGGAAGCCCUCAAACAUUAGAAGGAUAUGCCAUAGGAAAAGAGGAAUAUUUGAGGAGCAUCUGGAGAGAUGGGCUUUAUCGGUCCUCUUCCCUAUUUAUGCUUAUUAGAGAUGAAAUUGAAGUGCAGCACGAUUGAGUUAUGCAUAUAAAGAAGAGUCCACAAACAAGAAAACAUAAGCAAUGUGGGAAGGAACAGAACUGCAAAGAGAACGAGAGGAGCGAAACUGAACAGGAUGCCAAGCUGCAAAAGACAUUUCAACAGCACCUAAUUAAAACCGUUCACAUUUGCAACAGACAGAAGGUAAAGGCAUUCACUAGGAAACAGAAGAAAGGGGAAAAAAAGAAAAAAAAAAACCCAACACAUUAAAAGCAGUUAUUUAGUCAAUCACGGGAGAUUCUGGAAAAAAUGACAACCUCGAAGGAAGGCCGGUUGAGUAACAAGAAAUGCAAGGAGAGUUUGGGGGUUAUUUCCAUUUGUCUCCCAGCGGAACGGAGAGACUUCAGCUGUUAAUAAUGAGAAAAAUCCUGUGCAGCAGCCCCUACCCACAGCACUUGGAGCCGAUGGGGAGCAGGCAAUGCCAACGUUGAGCAUUUAUCUCCACGCGCUGAUUUGAAUAAGAUCACAUAGCAACCAACCCAGGACUGGGAAAUCAACCCACUUUUCCCAGGUCCCACUCCAGUGCCUUAAUCAUGAAAUUAUCUGCCAGCUUCUUUUGUUAAUUAAUGAAUCUUCAUCUUUUUGGCUUUAGAAACCAUAGACGCAGCAGCAGUGGCAAGGCUGAAAAUCCAGCACGGUACUUUUGGUAGCAGGAAGAGCUGACAACAGUUUUUCUCAUAACCUGUUAUGUUCACCACUGGUUUGCCUGGUUUCAGCUGCGUAGCAGAGCAGCACAAGCUUAAAAGUGGAAUAAUCAUGACAAAUGAGUCCUCAGCCAUCUUUCAAAGAGAACAAAUGAAAUUUCCACUCGUAUGACAAAAUCACAAGAGAUGAAAAAGCAAGAGGAAGAAGCUACACUGUGCUCUGCUUGUCUCUGUCUAAGCAAAAUCACUUCAAUAAUUGGUGAACACAGUAUGAAAAAUAACAAAUAACAUAUGAAAGGGAAGAGAGUAGCAUGGCAUGUCUGAGAAGGAAAAUGGGAAGGGUUUUUUUUCUUUCAUGUGGAGGAGCCUUUGCUUUCAGAAAGAGCUAGUGAGGUGAAAAUGGAGCUUUCUUGCUGGAGAGAGGCUGAUUUAUGGGUACACGAGGAAUCUUGCCAUUCAGAGAUAAGGUACCUGAGUGCUUCGUUAACAAUGACUGAUGAAGAAGCAAUCAGAACUGUAAGAAGGAGCUUUUCGUUAAGUAGAUCAGGAGCUGUCAGAGGCCUUUGGCCACCCGCCCUCCUGAGAUUGGGUCAUCCUCUC